UUCGUAGGCGGUGCGGCAAGUCGGGAGUGAAAUCUCUGGGCUUAACUCAGAGGCUGCUUCCGAAACUGCUGUGCUCGAGUGUGGGAGAGGCGCGUGGAAUUGCAGGUGUAGCGGUGAAAUGCGUAGAUAUCUGCAGGAACACCCGUGGCGAAAGCGGCGCGCUGGACCACAACUGACGCUGAGGAACGAAAGCUAGGGGAGCAAACAGGAUUAGAUACCCUGGUAGUCCUAGCCCUAAACGAUCAGGACUUGGGGUGGCGCCCGUUCGGGCGUCGUCCCGGAGCUAACGCGUUAAGUCCUGCACCUGGGGAGUACGGUCGCAAGACUGAA
RNAcentral lists this ribosomal RNA (330 nucleotides) under uncultured bacterium. RNAcentral's name for it is "bacterial SSU rRNA". It matches the Rfam family "Bacterial small subunit ribosomal RNA", at positions 568 to 898 of the family's 1533-position model. The record is from RNAcentral.